UAUGGAUUUCAUCACUUCAAAAUUUUGACAAAAUAAAAAAAAAAAAUCUGUAAUCAUUCAUCAACUUUAAUCUGGUGAAGAGAUUCACCGAUUUGGGAAUAUCCAACAUUAAUUUUGACCAUCUCCAUUGGUCCCCAGCAACCAAGUUCUGGCAAACGGUGCGUUUAAGGAUGUGACAACGAAGUGUCAGUAUGCAGCCUGAAGAAAAGGGUAGACUAGAAAUGAGGGUAGAUGUCGAAAUUGUCAAAACUUGUGAUAUACUCGGAAGCUUCAAGCCUUCAACAGUUCAACCCCAACUCUGUCAAUGAAUUCUAAGGAUCUUGUGCCUUGGACAGUGUAUUGCUGACGCGUCGCGAACAUAGGCCAUUGUCAUCAGCAGGGAUUCCCUUCUCUAAAUCAGUGUCAAGAGCUACUGCUAUGCCUUGAACACCUCCAAAUCUAUGCAGUGCAGCAAAGUCCCUGGCCUUUACAAUCUGAGCAAUAUUUGCAUGUUGGAGUCUCACAUUGUUGACAAUUGGAUCAUUAUGAAGCAAGUCAUCGGAAACUCGAGGUGAUGUGGUCAAGUCCUCAACAAUUUCUGUUAUUUCCGAAUGCUACAAAAAUUAAAUACUUAAUAAGUUAGUUCAUAAGCUAUUUCAAACAUAUGAUGUGACUGCAGCAUUUCAAUCUACUAGGAGAUUUGAAGUAUACUAAUAGAAUCAAAGGUUCAGUCA
Molecule: long non-coding RNA, 713 nt
Organism: Mangifera indica (mango)
Lineage: Eukaryota; Viridiplantae; Streptophyta; Magnoliopsida; Sapindales; Anacardiaceae
Exons: 2
Source: RefSeq, a predicted model, not a curated record